CCUACGGGCGGCAGCAGUGAGGAAUAUUGGUCAAUGGGCGCUAGCCUGAACCAGCCAAGUAGCGUGAAGGAUGACUGCUCUAUGGGUGGUAAACUCUUUUUAUAUGGGAAUAAAGUGCAGUAUGUAUACUGCUUUGCAUGUAACUGUUGAAUAAGGAUCGGCUAACGCCGUCUCAGUAGCCGCGGUAAUACGGAGGCUCCGGGCGCUAUCCGGAUUUAUUGGGUUUAAAGGGAGCGUAGGCGGGUUGUUAAGUCAGUUGUGAAAGUUUGCGGCUCAACCGUAAAAUUGCAGUUGAUACUGGCAUCCUUGAGUACAGUAGAGGUGGGCGGAAUUCGUGGUGUAGCGGUGAAAUGCUUAGAUAUCACGAAGAACUCCGGUUGCGAAGGCAGCCUGCUGGACUGUAACUGACGCUGAUGCUCGAAAGUGUGGGGAUCGAACAGGAUUAGAUACCCUGGUAGUC
RNAcentral lists this ribosomal RNA (460 nucleotides) under uncultured bacterium. RNAcentral describes it as "partial 16S ribosomal RNA". It matches the Rfam family "Bacterial small subunit ribosomal RNA", at positions 338 to 795 of the family's 1533-position model. The record is from RNAcentral.